ACUGCGGAGGGAUCAUUACACAACAAAAUAUGAAGGCCUGGCUUUCGCGGCCGGCUGAAGUAUUUUUUUCACCCAUGUCUUUUGCGCACUUGUUGUUUCCUGGGCGGGUUCGCCCGCCACCAGGACCAAACCAUAAACCUUUUUUUCUUAUGCAGUUUCCAUCAGCGUCAGUAAAAACAAUGUAAUUAUUACAACUUUCAACAACGGAUCUCUUGGUUCUGGCAUCGAUGAAGAACGCAGCGAAAUGCGAUACGUAGUGUGAAUUGCAGAAUUCAGUGAAUCAUCGAAUCUUUGAACGCACAUUGCGCCCUUUGGUAUUCCAAAGGGCAUGCCUGUUCGAGCGUCAUUUGUACCUUCAAGCUUUGCUUGGUGUUGGGCGUUUUUUUGUCUCCCUCUUUCUGGGAGACUCGCCUUAAAACGAUUGGCAGCCGGCCUACUGGUUUCGGAGCGCAGCACAUUUUUUGCGCUUUGUAUCAGGAGAAAAGGACGGUACUCCAUCAAGACUCUACAUUUUUCACUUUGACCUCGGAUCAUGUAGGGACCA
This 544-nucleotide ribosomal RNA is filed under the name Bipolaris oryzae. RNAcentral describes it as "eukaryotic LSU rRNA". The stretch from base 193 to 346 matches the Rfam family "5.8S ribosomal RNA". Lineage: Eukaryota; Fungi; Ascomycota; Dothideomycetes; Pleosporales; Pleosporaceae. The record is from RNAcentral.